Molecule: small nuclear RNA, 102 nt
Organism: Dromiciops gliroides (monito del monte)
Lineage: Eukaryota; Metazoa; Chordata; Mammalia; Microbiotheria; Microbiotheriidae
Source: RefSeq, a predicted model, not a curated record
AUACACUUAGCAUAUAUUCUAAAAUUUGAAUGAUACAGAGAAGAUUAUCAUGCUCCUUGUGCAAAUGAUGACAUGGAAAUCCAUAAAGUAUUUUAAGCUGUU